This 2904-nucleotide ribosomal RNA is filed under the name Escherichia coli. RNAcentral's name for it is "23S ribosomal RNA". It matches the Rfam family "Bacterial large subunit ribosomal RNA". Lineage: Bacteria; Pseudomonadati; Pseudomonadota; Gammaproteobacteria; Enterobacterales; Enterobacteriaceae. The record is from RNAcentral.
GGUUAAGCGACUAAGCGUACACGGUGGAUGCCCUGGCAGUCAGAGGCGAUGAAGGACGUGCUAAUCUGCGAUAAGCGUCGGUAAGGUGAUAUGAACCGUUAUAACCGGCGAUUUCCGAAUGGGGAAACCCAGUGUGAUUCGUCACACUAUCAUUAACUGAAUCCAUAGGUUAAUGAGGCGAACCGGGGGAACUGAAACAUCUAAGUACCCCGAGGAAAAGAAAUCAACCGAGAUUCCCCCAGUAGCGGCGAGCGAACGGGGAGCAGCCCAGAGCCUGAAUCAGUGUGUGUGUUAGUGGAAGCGUCUGGAAAGGCGUGCGAUACAGGGUGACAGCCCCGUACACAAAAAUGCACAUGCUGUGAGCUCGAUGAGUAGGGCGGGACACGUGGUAUCCUGUCUGAAUAUGGGGGGACCAUCCUCCAAGGCUAAAUACUCCUGACUGACCGAUAGUGAACCAGUACCGUGAGGGAAAGGCGAAAAGAACCCCGGCGAGGGGAGUGAAAAAGAACCUGAAACCGUGUACGUACAAGCAGUGGGAGCACGCUUAGGCGUGUGACUGCGUACCUUUUGUAUAAUGGGUCAGCGACUUAUAUUCUGUAGCAAGGUUAACCGAAUAGGGGAGCCGAAGGGAAACCGAGUCUUAACUGGGCGUUAAGUUGCAGGGUAUAGACCCGAAACCCGGUGAUCUAGCCAUGGGCAGGUUGAAGGUUGGGUAACACUAACUGGAGGACCGAACCGACUAAUGUUGAAAAAUUAGCGGAUGACUUGUGGCUGGGGGUGAAAGGCCAAUCAAACCGGGAGAUAGCUGGUUCUCCCCGAAAGCUAUUUAGGUAGCGCCUCGUGAAUUCAUCUCCGGGGGUAGAGCACUGUUUCGGCAAGGGGGUCAUCCCGACUUACCAACCCGAUGCAAACUGCGAAUACCGGAGAAUGUUAUCACGGGAGACACACGGCGGGUGCUAACGUCCGUCGUGAAGAGGGAAACAACCCAGACCGCCAGCUAAGGUCCCAAAGUCAUGGUUAAGUGGGAAACGAUGUGGGAAGGCCCAGACAGCCAGGAUGUUGGCUUAGAAGCAGCCAUCAUUUAAAGAAAGCGUAAUAGCUCACUGGUCGAGUCGGCCUGCGCGGAAGAUGUAACGGGGCUAAACCAUGCACCGAAGCUGCGGCAGCGACGCUUAUGCGUUGUUGGGUAGGGGAGCGUUCUGUAAGCCUGCGAAGGUGUGCUGUGAGGCAUGCUGGAGGUAUCAGAAGUGCGAAUGCUGACAUAAGUAACGAUAAAGCGGGUGAAAAGCCCGCUCGCCGGAAGACCAAGGGUUCCUGUCCAACGUUAAUCGGGGCAGGGUGAGUCGACCCCUAAGGCGAGGCCGAAAGGCGUAGUCGAUGGGAAACAGGUUAAUAUUCCUGUACUUGGUGUUACUGCGAAGGGGGGACGGAGAAGGCUAUGUUGGCCGGGCGACGGUUGUCCCGGUUUAAGCGUGUAGGCUGGUUUUCCAGGCAAAUCCGGAAAACUAAGGCUGAGGCGUGAUGACGAGGCACUACGGUGCUGAAGCAACAAAUGCCCUGCUUCCAGGAAAAGCCUCUAAGCAUCAGGUAACAUCAAAUCGUACCCCAAACCGACACAGGUGGUCAGGUAGAGAAUACCAAGGCGCUUGAGAGAACUCGGGUGAAGGAACUAGGCAAAAUGGUGCCGUAACUUCGGGAGAAGGCACGCUGAUAUGUAGGUGAAGCGACUUGCUCGUGGAGCUGAAAUCAGUCGAAGAUACCAGCUGGCUGCAACUGUUUAUUAAAAACACAGCACUGUGCAAACACGAAAGUGGACGUAUACGGUGUGACGCCUGCCCGGUGCCGGAAGGUUAAUUGAUGGGGUCAGCGCAAGCGAAGCUCUUGAUCGAAGCCCCGGUAAACGGCGGCCGUAACUAUAACGGUCCUAAGGUAGCGAAAUUCCUUGUCGGGUAAGUUCCGACCUGCACGAAUGGCGUAAUGAUGGCCAGGCUGUCUCCACCCGAGACUCAGUGAAAUUGAACUCGCUGUGAAGAUGCAGUGUACCCGCGGCAAGACGGAAAGACCCCGUGAACCUUUACUAUAGCUUGACACUGAACAUUGAGCCUUGAUGUGUAGGAUAGGUGGGAGGCUUUGAAGUGUGGACGCCAGUCUGCAUGGAGCCGACCUUGAAAUACCACCCUUUAAUGUUUGAUGUUCUAACGUUGACCCGUAAUCCGGGUUGCGGACAGUGUCUGGUGGGUAGUUUGACUGGGGCGGUCUCCUCCUAAAGAGUAACGGAGGAGCACGAAGGUUGGCUAAUCCUGGUCGGACAUCAGGAGGUUAGUGCAAUGGCAUAAGCCAGCUUGACUGCGAGCGUGACGGCGCGAGCAGGUGCGAAAGCAGGUCAUAGUGAUCCGGUGGUUCUGAAUGGAAGGGCCAUCGCUCAACGGAUAAAAGGUACUCCGGGGAUAACAGGCUGAUACCGCCCAAGAGUUCAUAUCGACGGCGGUGUUUGGCACCUCGAUGUCGGCUCAUCACAUCCUGGGGCUGAAGUAGGUCCCAAGGGUAUGGCUGUUCGCCAUUUAAAGUGGUACGCGAGCUGGGUUUAGAACGUCGUGAGACAGUUCGGUCCCUAUCUGCCGUGGGCGCUGGAGAACUGAGGGGGGCUGCUCCUAGUACGAGAGGACCGGAGUGGACGCAUCACUGGUGUUCGGGUUGUCAUGCCAAUGGCACUGCCCGGUAGCUAAAUGCGGAAGAGAUAAGUGCUGAAAGCAUCUAAGCACGAAACUUGCCCCGAGAUGAGUUCUCCCUGACUCCUUGAGAGUCCUGAAGGAACGUUGAAGACGACGACGUUGAUAGGCCGGGUGUGUAAGCGCAGCGAUGCGUUGAGCUAACCGGUACUAAUGAACCGUGAGGCUUAACCUU